RNAcentral lists this ribosomal RNA (253 nucleotides) under uncultured bacterium. Its description in RNAcentral is "partial 16S ribosomal RNA". It matches the Rfam family "Bacterial small subunit ribosomal RNA", at positions 524 to 776 of the family's 1533-position model. The record is from RNAcentral.
UCCGGGGGGGGCAAGCGUUGUUCGGAAUUACUGGGCGUAAAGGGCUCGUAGGUGGCCAACUAAGUCAUACGUGAAAUCCCUCGGCCUAACCGGGGAACUGCGUCUGAUACUGGAUGGCUUGAGGUUGGGAGAGGGAUGCGGAAUUCCAGGUGUAGCGGUGAAAUGCGUAGAUAUCUGGAGGAACACCGGUGGCGAAGGCGGCAUCCUGGACCAAUUCUGACACUGAGGAGCGAAAGCCAGGGGAGCAAACGGG